CAGCUAAUGUGGAGGAGGAGAGUCUGGAUGUAAUAUCUUGCAGCAGCCGCGUCGACUGCGACCAAAUAUCCUCCUGGGUGGACGCUUUUGAUCCAUAUUUAUUCAUCAAACAGCUGCCGCCGUUAGAGAGUGUAUCGACACGUGCGCUGCGGGCGCGCUGCCCCGCGCUGCCGCUCAAGACCAGGACCAGCCCGGACUUCAGUCUGGUGCUGGACCUGGACGAGACGCUGGUGCACUGCUCGCUGCAGGAGUUGCCUGACGCCAGCUUCCACUUCCCGGUGCUCUUCCAGGACUGCAGAUACACUGU
Molecule: long non-coding RNA, 307 nt
Organism: Papilio polytes (common Mormon)
Lineage: Eukaryota; Metazoa; Arthropoda; Insecta; Lepidoptera; Papilionidae
Exons: 4
Source: RefSeq, a predicted model, not a curated record